RNAcentral lists this ribosomal RNA (88 nucleotides) under Staphylococcus delphini. The record is from RNAcentral. RNAcentral also lists the same sequence under 1 other name. Lineage: Bacteria; Bacillati; Bacillota; Bacilli; Caryophanales; Staphylococcaceae.
CCUGUUCCCAUGCCGAACACAGAAGUUAAGCUCUUUAGCGCCGAUGGUAGUCGGACUUACGUUCCGCGAGAGUAGGACGGUGCCAGGU